RNAcentral lists this ribosomal RNA (1232 nucleotides) under Fonsecaea pedrosoi. RNAcentral's name for it is "LSU rRNA". It matches the Rfam family "Eukaryotic large subunit ribosomal RNA", at positions 103 to 1357 of the family's 3401-position model. Lineage: Eukaryota; Fungi; Ascomycota; Eurotiomycetes; Chaetothyriales; Herpotrichiellaceae. The record is from RNAcentral.
AACAGCUCAAAUUUGAAAUCUGGCCUCUUGGGGUCCGAGUUGUAAUUUGUAGAGGAUGUUUCGGGUACCGCCUCGGUUUAAAUUUCUUGGAACAGAAUGUCAAAGAGGGUGAGAAUCCCGUCUUGGACCGGCGGUAGGGCCUAUGUGAAACUCCUUCGACGAGUCGAGUUGUUUGGGAAUGCAGCUCAAAAUGGGUGGUAAAUUUCAUCUAAAGCUAAAUAUUGGCCAGAGACCGAUAGCGCACAAGUAGAGUGAUCGAAAGAUGAAAAGCACUUUGAAAAGAGAGUUAAACAGUAUGUGAAAUUGUUGAAAGGGAAGCGCUUGCAACCAGACUUGAGCGCGGCGGUUCCCCCUUGCUUCUGCUUGGGUUACUCCGCCGUGUCCAGGCCAACAUCGGUUCUGGGGGUCGGUCAAAGGCUCUGGGAAUGUAUCUACCCACGGGUAGACUUAUAGACCAGGGUGUCAUGCGACCUCCCGGGACCGAGGAACGCGCUUCGGCUCGGAUGUUGGCGUAAUGGUUGUCAGCGACCCGUCUUGAAACACGGACCAAGGAGUCUAACAUCUAUGCGAGUGUUUGGGUGUCAAACCCGGAACGCGGAAUGAAAGUGAACGGAGGUAGGAAGCUUCGGCUGCACUAUCGACCGAUCCUGAAGUUUACGGAUGGAUUUGAGUAAGAGCAUAGCUGUUGGGACCCGAAAGAUGGUGAACUAUGCCUGAAUAGGGUGAAGCCAGAGGAAACUCUGGUGGAGGCUCGCAGCGGUUCUGACGUGCAAAUCGAUCGUCAAAUUUGGGUAUAGGGGCGAAAGACUAAUCGAACCAUCUGGUAGCUGGUUCCUGCCGAAGUUUCCCUCAGGAUAGCAGUAACGUUUUCAGUUUUAUGAGGUAAAGCGAAUGAUUAGAGGCCUUGGGGUUGAAACAACCUUAACCUAUUCUCAAACUUUAAAUAUGUAAGAAGUCCUUGUUACUUAAUUGAACGUGGACAAUUGAAUGUACCGUUACUAGUGGGCCAUUUUUGGUAAGCAGAACUGGCGAUGCGGGAUGAACCGAACGUGAGGUUAAGGUGCCGGAAUGCACGCUCAUCAGACACCACAAAAGGUGUCAAUGCAUCUAGACAGCCGGACGGUGGCCAUGGAAGUCGGAAUCCGCUUAGGAGUGUGUAACAACUCACCGGCCGAAUGCAUUGGCCCUGAAAAUGGAUGGCGCUUAAGCGUGCUACCUAUACCUCGCCGUUA